GCGUCGGGCGAGUUAUUGGAUCCAAGGCCUCAAUUUUUAUUCAGGUUUUAUAAAUGCAUUUUCAAUUAGAAACAGUACAUUUCUCGAAAAUAGUCAAAUCAUAAUAUACAGAGAAGCGGUUCUUUAUAAGCCGAGAUUAGGAUGAAGACAAAGGAAAAUAGGAUAAAAAAUUGUUAGAAUAAAAAAUAUUUAUUAUUUAAUUAUAAUUUUUGCUUUAAUGUUAAGUUGUUAUAUUAAAUUUGUAUAGUUUUUUAUAAUCCCAGCAUAUUCUAACUUUUAUGUAAUGUACAAAAAAUGCAUUACAAUAUUUAUCAAAAAAUAAAUUAUUUAUAUUUAUUUAUAAUAAAAAUUUUUAAUCAUUAUUAACAUAACUCUAUUAUCAGAAAAUAAAUUAUUUAUUA
Leptopilina heterotoma is the source of this 401-nucleotide long non-coding RNA. RefSeq lists it as uncharacterized. The record is from RefSeq and is a predicted model, not a curated record. The transcript has 3 exons. Lineage: Eukaryota; Metazoa; Arthropoda; Insecta; Hymenoptera; Figitidae.